Molecule: long non-coding RNA, 1047 nt
Organism: Myotis daubentonii (Daubenton's bat)
Lineage: Eukaryota; Metazoa; Chordata; Mammalia; Chiroptera; Vespertilionidae
Source: RefSeq, a predicted model, not a curated record
AUAAGGAAAUGGGAACAGAAAGUAUACCUAUUCUUUUUUAAAGACUUUUUUAUUGAUUUUUAGAGAGAAAGGAAGGGAGAGAGAGAAAGAAACAUUGAAGUGAGAGUGAAACACUGAUUGGCUGCCUCCUGUAUGGCCCCUACCUGGGAUCAAGUAUGCAACCUGGGCAUAUGCCCCCAACCUGGAAUCAAACCUGCAGUUUUUCAGUGCACAAGAUGAUACCGAACCAACUGAGCCACACCUGGGCCACAGCCAUUGGGUUUUAUCACUGCUCUUCAUGAGGAUGAUCAAAUUCUCUUAAGAAGCACCAUUUCAGCUGGAUAUAGAAUGCAGAUGCUACUAAGCAAGGCCAUGUGAAGAAAUAGCUGCAUAGCUAAGUCCAGAUUUCCCCAGCCUGUCAGUCAUUACAACUACAAGCUGCCCAAGCACAUUCGAAAGCCAUUGAGCAGCUAAUUUCCCAAGAUAGAUUUAAAAGACAUGAGAUAGCUGUGGUUGUGGUCUCUCUGGCUCCCACCACACAAAGCAGAGUUCUGAAGUGCAUGAGGAUUUCUUUUGCUGGUGCCAAGUAGUCAAGGCAUCCAAGGAAUCAAAAAGGGCCAAAAUUGGAUACACAAUGAAGCAGAGGAAGGCAUGACACCAGGACCCAACAGUCUCCAUCUGCUAAUAGGAGGUACCAGAGAGAGACCAGAGUGGUUGGGUUGGAAGAAGAAACCUGCCUCUUCCAUUUGCUCCUGCCAACAGCUCCCCAUCAAUGGCUCUUUAUCCUGGUAACAGUGGUUGAUUUCAGAAGCUGCAAGUGGUUCCAAUUUUCAGUUUUUCCACACUUCACACCUCACUAUGCCCCCUUAAAGACCACCCCGCCUUGCCCUGGCUGGUUUGGCUCACUGGAUAGAGCGUCGGCCAGGGGACUGAAGGGUCCCAGGUUUAAUUCCGGUCAAGGGCAUGUACCUUGGUUGUGGGCACAUCCCCAGUGGGAGAUGUGCAGGAGGAAGCUGAUCGAUGCUUCUCUCUCGUCGAUGUUUCUAACUCUCUAUUCCCCUCCCUUCC